CGAAAAUUCGGGGUAGUGGCGGACGGGUGAGUAACACGUGGGAACGUGCCUUUAGGUUCGGAAUAGCUCCUGGAAACGGGUGGUAAUGCCGAAUGUGCCCUUCGGGGGAAAGAUUUAUCGCCUUUAGAGCGGCCCGCGUCUGAUUAGCUAGUUGGUGAGGUAAUGGCUCACCAAGGCGACGAUCAGUAGCUGGUCUGAGAGGAUGAUCAGCCACAUUGGGACUGAGACACGGCCCAAACUCCUACGGGAGGCAGCAGUGGGGAAUCUUGCGCAAUGGGCGAAAGCCUGACGCAGCCAUGCCGCGUGAAUGAUGAAGGUCUUAGGAUUGUAAAAUUCUUUCACCGGGGACGAUAAUGACGGUACCCGGAGAAGAAGCCCCGGCUAACUUCGUGCCAGCAGCCGCGGUAAUACGAAGGGGGCUAGCGUUGCUCGGAAUUACUGGGCGUAAAGGGCGCGUAGGCGGAUCGUUAAGUCAGAGGUGAAAUCCCAGGGCUCAACCCUGGAACUGCCUUUGAUACUGGCGAUCUUGAGUGUGAGAGAGGUAUGUGGAACUCCGAGUGUAGAGGUGAAUUCGUAAAUAUUCCGGAAGAACACCAGUGGCGAAAGGCGACAAUACUGGGCUCAUUACUG
Molecule: ribosomal RNA, 630 nt
Filed under: Brevundimonas faecalis
Lineage: Bacteria; Pseudomonadati; Pseudomonadota; Alphaproteobacteria; Caulobacterales; Caulobacteraceae
Description: bacterial SSU rRNA
Rfam family: Bacterial small subunit ribosomal RNA
Source: RNAcentral